UUUCCUACGGGUGGCUGCAGUGGGGAAUAUUGCACAAUGGGCGAAAGCCUGAUGCAGCAACGCCGCGUGAGGGACGACGGCCUUCGGGUUGUAAACCUCUUUUAGCAGGAAAGAAGCGAAAGUGACGGUACCUGCAGAAAAAGCGCCGGCUAACUACGUGCCAGCAGCCGCGGUAAUACGUAGGGCGCAAGCGUUAUCCGGAAUUAUUGGGCGUAAAGAGCUCGUAGGCGGUCUGUCGCGUCUGCUGUGAAAACCCGAGGCUCAACCUCGGGCCUGCAGUGGGUACGGGCAGACUAGAGUGCGGUAGGGGAGAUUGGAAUUCCUGGUGUAGCGGUGGAAUGCGCAGAUAUCAGGAGGAACACCGAUGGCGAAGGCAGAUCUCUGGGCCGUAACUGACGCUGAGGAGCGAAAGGGUGGGGAGCAAACAGGAUUAGAUACCCUAGUAGUCACA
This 451-nucleotide ribosomal RNA is filed under the name uncultured Microbacteriaceae bacterium. RNAcentral's name for it is "bacterial SSU rRNA". It matches the Rfam family "Bacterial small subunit ribosomal RNA", at positions 335 to 797 of the family's 1533-position model. The record is from RNAcentral. Lineage: Bacteria; Bacillati; Actinomycetota; Actinomycetes; Micrococcales; Microbacteriaceae.